ACGGCUAUACCCAAUUUUGGAAUUUCUAUUAAAAAGAAAUGUGUUUACACGUGGGCAUAAUGGCUGGGGUCUUUUUUUAUAUUUAACAAUAGUAUAGUCGUACGGCUAUACUCACUUUUGAAUUUUUUUUUAAAAAGACGUGUUGACACGUGGCCCCUAUUGGUUGGGGGACUUUUUUUAUAUUUAAAAAUAGUAUAGCCGCACUGCGAUACUCUUUUUUUUUUUUUUUUAUAAAAAAAAUAUAGUAUAUGCGGGAGGCGUUGCUUUAAAAAAAAAAUUUGAAUUUAAUAAAUAGUAUAGACGAGCGGCUAUAGUCUUUUACAUACGUAUUCAUAUAUAUAUAUAUACACACACACAUAUGUAGGUACGUAUUUUUUGUGUGUGUUUACUAACACAUGGAAUAAUUCGAAUUCAUGACUUCCCUUACGUUUACUAACACAUAAGGAAUGAAAGAUUACUUGGGUUCCACAUUUAAAUCCAUAAUCGAAUGCCCUCAAAAUUGGGAAUGAAAUCAACUAGGAGGGAGUAGUUGAUCCGAUUCUCAUACCUUG
Molecule: long non-coding RNA, 551 nt
Filed under: Prunus persica (peach)
Lineage: Eukaryota; Viridiplantae; Streptophyta; Magnoliopsida; Rosales; Rosaceae
Description: long non-coding RNA (PPER_LNC008481)
Source: RNAcentral